UCUGUGUUUUUUGCCCCCAACGGCUGGUUAUGGUUAGGGUUAGGGGUAAGGUUAAGGUUAGGUGCCUCGAAGGCAGCGGCCGCAGCGCUGACUGGAAGGAGCAGUUGGGGGCAAAAAACACCAUUGAGCGUUUACACCAGACCGUGCCGUGAAUUCAAAAGGACAAAAUGAGAAAUGUCAAACACUAAUAUUAAUUUUCUGAUCACAAGGGGCAAGAAAAUAAACUGGCUUCUUGAAUGCCAAACACAG
Sander lucioperca (pikeperch) is the source of this 249-nucleotide long non-coding RNA. RefSeq lists it as uncharacterized. Lineage: Eukaryota; Metazoa; Chordata; Actinopteri; Perciformes; Percidae. The transcript has 2 exons. The record is from RefSeq and is a predicted model, not a curated record.